Molecule: ribosomal RNA, 437 nt
Filed under: uncultured marine eukaryote
Lineage: Eukaryota
Description: partial 18S ribosomal RNA
Source: RNAcentral
UUGAUGUUGUUGCUACUUGGUUACUGUGGUAUUCUAGAGCUAAUACUGGCGUCCAAACCCCACUUUCGGGAAGGGGUGUAUUUAUUAAAAAAAUACCCCCCUCCGGGUUGCUUGGUGAUUCGGUGAACUUCUCAAAUCGCCGAAUCUUGUGCUUCGGAUGCUUUUUCAAAUAUCUGCCCUGACAACUGUCCUUGGUACGAUAGGGGCCUGGCCUACCUGGGCUUUGUAACGGGGAAUAAAAAUUUCGAUUCCAUUCAGGGAGCCUGACCUGAGCUACCACUACCACAUCAAGGCGAAGGGCGCGCAAAUUAAAAUUACCCGACCCUGAGAGGUAGAGGCAAUAACAAAAAAUACCAGGCCCUUUUGGUUUUUGUUGUUAUUGGGAUUACAAUUAAUUUCCCUUCCUGUCGAACAAUUGGAGGGGGCUCUGGUGGUAA